This 90-nucleotide non-coding RNA is filed under the name Pseudomonas sp. GV085. Lineage: Bacteria; Pseudomonadati; Pseudomonadota; Gammaproteobacteria; Pseudomonadales; Pseudomonadaceae. The record is from RNAcentral.
UGUAGGAGCGAGCCUGCUCGCGAUGACGGAAUGUCAGUCAACUUCGAUGUUGAAAGUUAGACCGCUAUCGCGAGCAGGCUCACUCCCACA